This is a long non-coding RNA of Diorhabda sublineata, 3904 nucleotides long. RefSeq lists it as uncharacterized. The record is from RefSeq and is a predicted model, not a curated record. The transcript has 5 exons. Lineage: Eukaryota; Metazoa; Arthropoda; Insecta; Coleoptera; Chrysomelidae.
UUAAUAUUCGUUGGUUGACCAAAAGUGAAUCAAAAUGUAUAAAAUUUAUUUGUAAGUAAAAGCAGGGAAAAGUUAUUCGAACAAGAAAAUAAGAGAGAAGAACUUCAGGUGAAAAAUGGAUUUCCUCAAACCAUAUUCGAAUAAGAUAAAAAACAAAAGAGAACAAAUGUGGAUUUUCCUCAAAAACUUAGGAAUUUUUGGUUCAAGACUCUAAUACUUUUUAUACUAGUUAAUUUUUUGUAGAUCAUUAUCUGUGUUUUGAAUAUUUUAUUCAUUCAUAAAAUUAUUUUGAAAUAAUACAACAAUUUUUCAGUUUUUAAAAGAGGCAACACUUGUUUUUUCUUAUUUUUUUCAAAAUUAAUUGAAACGGAUCUUUUAUUGUGUUAUCACCACUAUCGGAUCAUUAUUUAUGUUUUGAAUCAUCAUCUUAUUUUGAACGUCUUACAUUUAUAAAAUAUUACAAAAAAAAAUUAAAAUUUCAGUUUUUUAAAACCGUAAGGAAUAGAACUGUGAUCGGGAAGAUACUUUCUCUUUGUCGAGUUAGGCCGAUAUAUUUUUGUACAAUCGCAAGUCAUCACCUCAUGCUCUUUCGUUCGUCUAAUUUGCCUCGAAGCUACGCUUAUAGGAGCCGAAUCGUUUAUUACCAUUUCCUUCAUAGAAUCAAAAUUAACCUGUUGAGCUGCAGAAUAAGAAAGGGAUAUACCUUUAACUGUGCAUACAACAUCACCUGAACAGGUCUUAUAAGCAUAGUUUUUCGGGCCCCCAGACACAAAUUCCGUAAUAUAUGCAUCAGGACCAUAGGACUCUAAUUCAUUAGUCAUAUCACCAAUGAAUUCACCUGUGGGAAUGUCAGAUUCUCCAGGUCUGGAAACAUAAAAGUUAGAAUCGGUAUCGUAAUAGAGUACCCUUUCUUGCAGUUUUUCAAGGUAACUGAAAAGUUUCAGACGCGCAAGAGCUGUAACGUAUGACGCUAUAACAACAUUAACCGUGGGCAAAGGGUCGUAACAUUCAUCCAUAUAUUCCUAAUUAACAAUUAAAGUAUCUUCAUGGAUCGAUAGAAUUGUGUUCCCAUUUAUUGAAGGAUUAAUUAUCAUAGAGAAGAAUUCAACAGGUUGAUUAACAAUUGUUGUCUUUGGUUGAUUCUCACGCUGACCAAACUUACCCCAAAAUGAAUUUAGCAUAAAUUUAGUCAGGGAGCGCAAACCCGGUUUAUUGCAAAUUUUAUCAAAUUCCAACUGAAUAUCUUCCCUUUGUAAAAAUCUUUCUAUAUAAUUAUCUUUUUCCUUCUGUGUACGACAAUUUUUCGGCCAGUCGGACGACUCUUGCUUUAUUUUAAUAAAUUUGUUUAUCAUUUCGGUAAACAAUCCUAUUACAUCUAUUCCAGCCUGAAUUGUCUCAUAUGACCAAAUUUCAAAAAUAGUUUGUAUUUUGUACCGCAUUUCGAGUACCUUUAAAACCUCUUCAAUCACCCAAGUACCCGUUAACGAACGCUCUAUAUCUGAAUGUAGACAUUCUCCUGAAUUGAGAUUUUCCCCAAACACACGACAAAGAACGAACAUUAACUUGUUAUUCAUUUUCAUCGAUAAAACGGGGUGGAACAAUUGAUGAGGGGGAAGAAUUUUACAUUUAAUGAGUCCACUAAUACUAGAAAGAUCUAUUAAAGAAUAUUCCUUAUUAAUGUAAAUUUUCGGAUGUCCGAUAGGAAACUUUCCAUACUUACAAACCCAGAGGUAAGGCGAAAAUACAUCUACAUAUUUAAUUUUUCCUCCUCCUUAGUUUUGUAGUAUGUGUAAGUAUUUCCAGUUCGGCCACCAUAGAAAGCUUCUCUUGGAUUUAGAGGUGAUUGAUUUAGAAGAGGAUCUGAAAAUUUUUUAAUUUCAUCCGUUAAUUCUUUUCGAAAAUCGCAAUCCCAUUUUUCUAUGACUUUAUACCCCAGAGAUUUCAAUCUUUCAAUCUUAGCUUGGGUGGCUUCGAAUCGAAGAUUGAAAGUCUCAGAGGGGUUAUCUUUGAGAGGAUCAUCUCUCUUUUCUGAUCACCAUUUUAGUAAAGAAUUUCUAGCGUUAAAAGAAAAAAUUAUCAGGGUCAUAAAUUUUAAUAUCAGGUAUUGGUCCAACGUAACUUUGAUUUUCACUGCGUUUGAAAAGAUGAGGAAAAUACUCCUUUUCCUCUGAGAAAUUGAAGGAGGAUGGAAGUUUACACAAAGCCAUCGGAAGAUGGCUUUAAAUCUGUUUUGGUCAGGAUAUAAUUUAAAAUAAAUUGAUGAUCAAAUGCGCCUCCGUUAUGUGCGAGUAUGACAAUAUUUUCAAAUUUUUUGCGAAAACUUAACAUAUGAUGCAUGAACGGCGAAAUCGGAUCACUAUUUAACAACUUGUAAUCUUAGACCACAUUUAGAACAAAUACACAAAGAUUUGGUUCAUGUAUACGUGAACCGUCAUCAAGUACCCUUUCCUGUUGUGUUUCCAAAUCAUAAAAAACGAAAAGAAAAUCUUUCAAUGAUGGAAUACGAUUAUCAGAUUGGAUGUAGCAAAGAUGUCUUGAAGGCUGGUGUUUAUUACAAAUCUUACAAAAGAUUUCUCCACAGACAUGUUUGCGUGUGUGUGGUACGAUUUUAAAACACUCUUCGCAGCGACGUAUCUGGUCGCAAAUGCCAUGCUUCAUAUGAUUUUCGAAGCAUACUUAUCCACGGAAAGAUCUUUUGCAAGAUUCACAAUUAACCUUGAUCUCGUCGGGGGUACAAACAAGUGAUUGUUGACAACCAGGGCAGGUUCCUCCACAUCUAUGAUCCCGAUUAUUAUUGUAAGGAAUAUGGCAUUCCUUACAAUAAUAACUACACGAAAACGCCGCAGUUAACGAAGUAAUUACAUUGUAAUGGCCCUCAUGGUAGAGUAAAUUCAACGAAGAACCUUUGUCUGUACCUUCGAAAAUGACAUCACGACCUUUUGACCCAUAGUUGUAGACAAUAAUUUUAUAAUUUUUAGAUAUUGUUGAAAUAUAUAAAAAAAUCUGGUAUUCCACAUCCCUCGGAAGGAAUGGAAACCCCUGAAGCUUCCAUCAGUUCCAAAGCUCUGGCAGUCUGAAGUUUUCCAAUAUCUCUCCUAACUUUAGUGUAGAGAGGAUCUAUAUAUACGUUAGCCAUAGCGACGACAAGAGCACGAGAUAUAACGGCAUUGAAAUUUAGGAAACUUGUGGUAUUCUGUAUGAUAAUAAGAAGCUUUUUUUACCCAUUAAUCUGAUUGUCAUUUCCUUUGUGAGGCUCCAUAUUUAAAGAAGAAAACCGGGGGCUAACGAAAAAAGGUAAAGAAUGUUUUGAAGGACUGGAAUGUUUAUUUUUUUAUUCACACCCUAUGCCAUAAAAAGAAGACGCAAUUCCAUAGUUCACCUACCACGAAACCAAUUUGACACCCCAAUCGUAAAGCUGCUGCUGCUACUGGAACUUUUUGGAUUCAUAGAUAUAAGCAAACAACAACAAGUACCGAAUAUAAUUCAAACCAGAUACAUAUUUAAUGUAAUUGGAUGUAAAUAGCUUAUAGGGUUGGGCAAUGUGUGAAUUUCUACCUUACGGAGGAUUUGAGUGGAUCUCAGUAUCGGAUGAUUAACAGGGGAUAUAUGUAAAAAGUGAAUUUAGAAUAUUCUUCAUAUACAGGAUUUCAAUUUGAAACUUCUUUCUACCUUAGCCUUGAGCCCCUGUCUUUUCGAUUGUAUUUACUAGAUUAUACCUGAUACAAUUUUAUUAAUUCAAAAUUACUGAUUACACACACAAUGAAUUUAGAAUAUUCCACGCUAAAAGGUCCAGAGUGCAGGGGGGUAGACGAUAGGGGGUUAAAAUUGAUGGUUUCGUUGGAAUCUAGUCUUUGAAUUUCAAGGGUGUUAUUUUCAUGGUUGCCCAUCUACACUCUGGACCUUU